GGCCAAAUUGCCUCCAUCACCCUGCAGCAGAUAAAUGUAAAUUACUGUUUGAUUUAUCCUAGAAGAAAUAAGCUGAGUUUGACACUAAUAGUUAGGCAUGCAUAUAAAGUUUAUCAUUCUGGCCAUACUAUGCACUAGAAAUCAUAUAAAAUCUUCAGACCAAUAGAGGCCAUAAGAAAUAAAGAGCAUAUUGUCAUGUUGCAAAUGCAGAUUACUAAUGCAUAGGGAGAACCUAUUUACUUCAAUUACAUGAUGCAAUAACAUAUUUGUGUACAUUUUUGCAGUUGUGUAUUUAAAUAUCUAAUAAUUGAUUCUUCUUCUUCUUUCUUUGACAGUUUCUGAAUUGAAUUCUUCUGCUUUUAAUUUUUCUUUGUUUGGUUUCUUCUUUAUUAUACUUCGAUUUGCAGGGGGAUUAAGAGAGAUGAGUUAUAGACAAGGGAGAAAGAGAAUGGGAGCCAAUCCUAGGGAAUGGGGAGAGAGGAAGGGUCGGGAUGGGGGGCUAUCAGAUUUUUAUUUUUUUUUCAAACAUAAAUUUAUGAUUUUUUUUAUUUUAUUUAGCAUUUACAAGUAUUUACAUUUCUUUUUGUUUUUCUUCACCAAUCAAUGACGGCCAAGUCCCUCUCAAUUGUUUUAAAAUUUACAGAAUUCUUACAUUGGAGAGGAAUUUAAAAGUUAAAACAUAAGAGCUUCAGUUGCAAGAAUUUUGCAGAUUGGGGUAUAAUUUGAAAAUAAUUUUGUGAUUUUCCUUAAUAAUUUAGCAUAUAUGAACAUAAACUGACCUUUUCUAGUAAUUUUCCAUCAGCAAGUUGCAAUUUCUGCUCAAGCUCCUUGACUUGCUUCUCUAGAAGUAUGAUUUCUUUUUCCCUAGCAUCAAGGUCUUCAAGGGAUUUCCUCAGAGCUGCUUCUCUUUCUAAAUCUUUUUGAGAAUUUCCCUCUUUCUGUUCGGUAAUGAUGCUUUGAGCAAGUUGUAAUUCACUCUGAAGCUUUAGAACUUGAUCAUUUAACAUAUCUCUAUCAUGGAUUUUCAGUACAUGAUCUUCUAGUUUCAAAGUUAACUCAGCUUCUCUUCCAGCAGCAGAUGCCUGAAUGUUUUCAACCUCUUCUUUCAGACGGGCCUCUGCUGUUGCCAAUUUUUCUUCAACUUCCUUGAGACGGUUUUGCAAUGCUGACUUCUCCACAAUCUCCAUCUUGAGAUUUUCAAUCUCAGAUUUUAGGGCAUCUUCAUUUGCUUUCUUCUCUUCACACUGGAUGAUCACUGACUGAAGUUCCUUCUUUACAUUUUGAUAAGAUUCAUUAAGAAGGUUGUUCUCUUCCAUAAAUGAAGAUAUCUGAGACUGUAGUCUCUGUCCUUCAUCAUUAAGAUGCUGAGUUAAAUUUUCUAUAGCCUUCUUUGAUGUGUGAAGCUGUUCUACUGUUUCAUCCUUCUCCAAAUUGGUUGCAGACAGUUUUGCCUCUAGAUCACUCAGUUUGGACUCAUAUGAGGAUAGUUCCUGAGUAAGCUUCAAAUUUGCCUCUGCUAACCCUGUACUCUCUUUUUCAAAGUGACUUGACCUGUUUUGCAGUUCCUCAACAAUACUUUCAAAGUGUUUCAAUUUCAGACAAGUCUCUUCCAGCUCAAGUUUUCGAGUUUCGGCUAUUGCAGAUGCUUCAUGAGCCUGUUCUUCACAGAAUUUCUUUUGGCCUUCAAGUGCAUUUAGCUUCACGUUCAAAUUGUUUGUUUCUUCAUCUUUCUGAGUUAGUCUCUGAAUGGCCUCUUGUAACUGUGUCUCCACAUGAACCAUCCGGGUCUCAGUUUCUGAAUGAAGUUCUAGAGCCCUUGAGUGCCUGUCUGAUAAUUCUGUAAUAGUGUUCAUGUGUGAAGCAAUUUGUUGACACGAGGCUUCCUUCUCAGAAACAGCAGAAUUUAGAAAUUCCUGAAGUUCAUUGACCUUGCUUUUGAGCUGAUUGUUUGUCUCAACUAAGAGUUCCUUUUCUGAGGAAGAGUUAGAAGCUCUAUUUUCUGCUUCCAAUAUCUGUUUUUUAAGUUCUUCAUUUGAGGCUUCCAAAGAAGCCACUUUUAGCAAACACAAAUCCAAUUCUUCCUUCAAAGAUGCAGAUUUUCCAGCUGCUUCAGCUACCUGCUCCUCGUAUAACUUCACUUGGUCUUCAAGAGUCUUCAGUUUGUCAACGAGGAAUUUUACCUCAGAAUCCUUGCUCGUGAAGUUUUCUAUAGCUUCUUGAAGUUUGAGUUCCGAAUCCCUUGCCAGUGAUUCAUGUAAUGAUUCAAGUUCAGACUUACUAACAAUAGCCUGCUCUAAUAAUUUUUCUUGUGUCUCUAGUUGUUCCUCAGUAGCCUUGAGCUUUGCCAUUACUUCACUCUCUUUUAAUCCAGCAGCCUUUAGAUCAUUUUCAAUGCACUCAAACUUCUCCUGCAUCACAGUUAAUUCGUUGCGCAGGACUUCCACAAGAUUCUCGGCUUCAGCCAGCAUCUGGCUGGAACCACUGGAUGCAUCUUCUAACCUUUUCUUUUCAUCAGUUACUGAAUUCAGGCAUUCUGCCAGUUCUCUCUCCUUUUCACUGGCUGUUUGCAGUGCAACUUCAAGGUUUGAUGACCUUGCUUGGAAUGCCUCAAUCUCAGCUGAAAGUUCAGAUACUUUGUUUAUGUAUUUGUUGGACUCUGCUUCUGCACCCACGCAUUUCUUUUCUAGUGUGCUAAUCUGAUCUUCAAGUUCCUGAAUUCUGUACUUCUCUGCUUCUAGUAACAACUCGAACUCAUUCACCUUUUUGCUGGCAUCUUCUACUUUGGAAUGAGAUGUCUGGAACAAAUCUUCAAGUUCAAGGCUGCGCUGAUGAUUCAUGUUUGCAUGGUCCUCAUGUUCAGCACACUUCACUGUAGCAAUCCUCAACUCUUCCUCAAGCUCUGCACUCCUUGAUGAUGACUGAUUUAGGGAAGAUUCAAGGUGGGUUAUCUUCUCCUGGUAUUCCUGUAUCAGGUCAGUCAAUUGUUUCUUUUCCUCCUCCAAUUCUUUCAAAGCAGCACUGAGAUCAGAUAUUUUCCGUGAGAAUUCUCUCACUUCUCUCUCAGCAUCACUGCUUCUUAAUUCAACUAAAUUCAGUUGUUUCUCAAGCUCCACAUUCCUCUGCUCUGCAGCGAUAAAUCGUGUCUCAAGCUCUCUAAGUUGGGAUUUUGCAUCUUCUGCUGCUUCAUUUGAAGCUUGGAUUGAAUCCUCAAGCUCCAGAUUUUUUUGGAUAGCAAAUGCUGCAGCAGCUCCAGAUUCAUUGUAAAGCUCUUCCAGAGGCUUCAAUUUUUGUUCUAGCUCUGCAUUGUUCGACAAAGCUUGAGACAAAAGAGAAUCUGCUUUAGAGAAAUUCUCAUCUGACACCUUCAACUUGUCUUCAAGAUCGCUGCAUAAUUCUUUCAUUUGUGCAGCAUUACUACUAAGAUCUGUUACAGUUGUUUCAAGAGCUUCUUUUUCUUUCGUUACUUUCGACAGUUCUUCAUGUAUAGCUGAGACCUGUUCCUCCUGGUUUUGCAUUGCUGCUUCAACCAAUUCCCUUGCAUUAACUUCCUCUUGCAGCUUCAACUUAUUGCCUUCUAACUCAGAAACCUUUGCAUGAAGAUCUUCUCUAGUUGAACUGAGCAAAUUCUCCAAUGCCAAGAUGUCUUCCUUCACCUGAGAUUCUGAAGCUUUCCUCAGGUCCAAUUCUUGUGUCAGUUCAUUUAUGAGAACCUCCUUUGAAGAGAGUCUUUGCUCCAUGUCCAGCAGUUGUGAUUUUGAAAGUGCCAAUUCUUCAUUAACUGCUACGAGUUCUGCUGUAGAGUUCUCAAGGGCUUCUUCAACUUUCUGGUUUUCUGCAAUCUUCUCAUAAAGGCCAUUGACUUCCUCUUGAAGCGAAGCCAUCUGUUCUUCCAUUUCUUUUGCACUUGCUUUUGCUUCUUCAAGCAGCCUUUCAAACUCCAAAGCCCUUUGUGUCUCAGAUUCAGCAUGUGAACCACUUUGUUUGUGCAACUCCUCAAACCUCUUUAACUCACCUUCAGAAAGUUGCAGCUUUUGCUCCAACUCUUGCAAACUCUUUCUAGAGUUCUCAACCUCAAUGCUAAGACCAUCAAAUGCUUCUUUUACCCCAGUCAAUUCCUUGUGCUUCAUUUCUUGUGCCUGCAGAGCCUUGUUCAAAGUGCAAAGCUGUGAACUAUAUUUCUCCUCAGCUUCAAAUAAUUGAUCUUGCAAUUUCUUGUGAUUCUGUUCAAUCUCCUCAUACUUCUUUUCACCAACCUCCAAGUUCUCCUUUGCAAGCAAGACCUCUUCUUUCAAUUUUGUAUUUUCUGAUUCAGAAUGCUUUAAUGCUUCAACUACUCUUACCAAUUCAAGUUCCAGUUCCUUCACCUUCUCUUGUGCUUCCAAUAAUUCUCUGGUUGAACUGCUUAAGCUCCUUUCUAUUGCUGAUGGCUUCUCGUCAUCCGCAGUCGCUGCCUUAGCUGUAUGAGAGGCAUCCUUCACAUCAAGCAAUUCCUUCUCUACUUUUAUGAAUUCUCCGUCAGUCUCAUCCUCGUCUUUCUUUCCUGCUUUUUCUAUUUGCGGCAAGUCUCCAUUUGUUGCCUUGAUAGGAUCGUCUUUCUCCUUGGUAUCUACCUUCAAUAUUUCUACCUCUGAAGCCAUUUGGGUCUCGUCUUCCAUUCUAAAUUUAUACCUCUGAAAUCUGAUAGAUCGAAAAUGGUUUUCCUUAGCUUUGAAGA
This 4714-nucleotide unclassified non-coding RNA is filed under the name Hevea brasiliensis (rubber tree). The record is from RNAcentral. Lineage: Eukaryota; Viridiplantae; Streptophyta; Magnoliopsida; Malpighiales; Euphorbiaceae.